Molecule: ribosomal RNA, 705 nt
Filed under: Shigella flexneri
Lineage: Bacteria; Pseudomonadati; Pseudomonadota; Gammaproteobacteria; Enterobacterales; Enterobacteriaceae
Description: bacterial SSU rRNA
Rfam family: Bacterial small subunit ribosomal RNA
Source: RNAcentral
ACCAUACGAUGUCGACUUGGAGGUUGUGCCCUUGAGGCGUGGCUUCCGGAGCUAACGCGUUAAGUCGACCGCCUGGGGAGUACGGCCGCAAGGUUAAAACUCAAAUGAAUUGACGGGGGCCCGCACAAGCGGUGGAGCAUGUGGUUUAAUUCGAUGCAACGCGAAGAACCUUACCUGGUCUUGACAUCCACGGAAGUUUUCAGAGAUGAGAAUGUGCCUUCGGGAACCGUGAGACAGGUGCUGCAUGGCUGUCGUCAGCUCGUGUUGUGAAAUGUUGGGUUAAGUCCCGCAACGAGCGCAACCCUUAUCCUUUGUUGCCAGCGGUCCGGCCGGGAACUCAAAGGAGACUGCCAGUGAUAAACUGGAGGAAGGUGGGGAUGACGUCAAGUCAUCAUGGCCCUUACGACCAGGGCUACACACGUGCUACAAUGGCGCAUACAAAGAGAAGCGACCUCGCGAGAGCAAGCGGACCUCAUAAAGUGCGUCGUAAUCCGGAUUGGAGUCUGCAACUCGACUCCAUGAAGUCGGAAUCGCUAGUAAUCGUGGAUCAGAAUGCCACGGUGAAUACGUUCCCGGGCCUUGUACACACCGCCCGUCACACCAUGGGAGUGGGUUGCAAAAGAAGUAGGUAGCUUAACCUUCGGGAGGGCGCUUACCACUUUGUGAUUCAUGACUGGGGUGAAGUCGAAAAGGGGGACCCCCUAA